UGCCAGCAGCCGCGGUAAGACGGAGGGGGCUAGCGUUGUUCGGAAUUACUGGGCGUAAGCGCGCGUAGGCGGCGCAUUAAGUCAGAGGUGAAAGCCCGGGGCUCAACCCCGGAAUUGCCUUUGAGACUGGUGUGCUUGAGUACGGAAGAGGUGAGAGGAAUUCCCAGUGUAGAGGUGAAAUUCAUAGAUACCAUGAGGAAUUCCAAUAGCGAAGGCAGCUUACUGGUCUUUGACUGACGCUGAGGCACGAAAGCGUGGGGAGCAAACGGGAUUAGAUA
RNAcentral lists this ribosomal RNA (278 nucleotides) under uncultured bacterium. Its description in RNAcentral is "partial 16S ribosomal RNA". It matches the Rfam family "Bacterial small subunit ribosomal RNA", at positions 506 to 784 of the family's 1533-position model. The record is from RNAcentral.